CUGAAAGGAGGAGGAGUGGACGUUGUGGGAGAAGGGACAAACUACUUCAAGAGACGGGCGUUUCCGCUUUGUGAAACUACACGAACCAGCAUGCAAUGGUUCACCUUUCGCUACUCUCCUAGCCGUUCAGCUUUUAUGGAAGCUGCGCUGAAGGAGCAAAUAUCGGCGUCCUCGUGAGAAAUGGAAUCUCUUCUAGUUAUUGAGGAUUGCUGAAGCAUGAUGAAAAUAGUAUAGAGUGGCGGCCAACAAUAGCUAUUGCAAAUUACCACUUUCAGCCCCGAAAAGUGGUAAUUUUGCAGUAGCUAUUACCACUUUUGCAAACUAAGGAAUAAAAGUAUGACACGGGGUCUUCUCAGGAGCACAAAAAGUAGAUGAGCAGGUAAAACUGUUCCAGGACUGUACCACUUCAGAUUGCAGGUGUGAUAAUCAGGAAAGAGAGAAAGACCUUCCCACUGACCUCCCUAGCGCAGUGCUGCUGACAUUGCAAUGUGUCCACUCAGAAAUAAGCCACGCUGCCUUCUAGCAGUCUUAUUCCCAGCUCACCUGAAAUAUUCCACUCCAGUAUACCUUCAGGACAGGAAGAACUGGGCAAGAAAACUCCCCCCCCCCGAAAAAAGGGGGGACACAGUUCAUGCAAAUAAAUACCAACCUUGUUAUUGUUAGAUCUGUUCAAAUAUUCUCAGGAAGUAUCAGAAUUGCUCAAAUAAACUAGAAAUAAAGGGUGGUCAUCAAGAGUUAACACUGCAUAUUUAUCAAA
Long non-coding RNA from Podarcis muralis (Common wall lizard), 757 nucleotides. RefSeq lists it as uncharacterized. The record is from RefSeq and is a predicted model, not a curated record. NCBI's taxonomy places the organism in Eukaryota, Metazoa, Chordata, Lepidosauria, Squamata, Lacertidae.